This 965-nucleotide long non-coding RNA is filed under the name Numida meleagris (helmeted guineafowl). RNAcentral describes it as "lncRNA (ENSNMEG00000003660.1)". The record is from RNAcentral. Lineage: Eukaryota; Metazoa; Chordata; Aves; Galliformes; Numididae.
GAUCGAGAGCUAACUGGCACGAGGUAGUGCCCUUGGCUAGGAUGAGGCUCACUGAGCUGUAUCUCUUCAUAAUGCACUGCUGGAAGAUGCUCAGAAAGAGAAAUUCCUGGUUCUGAGUAGCAGCCACAGCUCUGUGCAUGGGGAGAUGCUGCAGCCCAUUGCUCUGUGCAGGGCCACACUGGGGGAACUUGGGGCUUUGUCCCCCCACCCCAUGGCACCUCUGGUGGAGCUGUGUGCUGGGCUGAGAGGAAGAAGAUAACAGUGGGGAUGGGGUUGGUGCCAGGGAAGUGCCAGGAGCCGGGCUGCAGCCUCUGCUUUUCCAGUGAGGGAUGGCAGCUGGUGACAUGGGAAAGCUCCAGGAGCUGCCACCGACAGCCACAGAAGUACUCUGUUCCCUGUGUUCUUUAGAAAUAACAGUGAACUGAGAAAUACAGCGAUCGGCCACACUUGUAAUGAACCCCAAUAGCAUCAUUCUGGGACUAUGCUGCUGUAAAGUGAGAUCAGCUGGAGGUGCCGGGGCCAGAAAGUUAUCAGGGAAGGAAGCAUUUUUGCAGCAGGAUGGGAGAAGGAAAGCCCCUGCCUGGGGAGAUGCACCAGGAGCGGAGAGACGGGAGGAGAGCGGCACACAUGGAGCAGCAGCUGCUCCCCCAGCACACGUCCCCCGGGCACUGAGGCAACAGUGGCGAGAGGCGGGCAUCAGCUGCGGAUCUCUGGCAUCGGAGAGGACUUCUCCUCUGGGGGCCGGCGUGGAAGCGGGGCCAGCUCUCAGAGCACUGAGCUGAGGAGGCCCAGCUGGGGCGAGAUGCAUGCACCGAGCUGGCAGGUCUCAGCCUGCUGCAGCCCCAAGCACAGGGCAGCUGAUGCUUGUAGGGAUGGCCAGGGAGGAGAAGUCCUCAGGAACUGGGCUUGCUGACAAAGAUAUGUGGCUGCCAGUGUGAAGGUCUGCUCAGCGUAGCUGUAUGCGU